AUCUAUCUGUCGAGUUCCAAACAGGACAAAACGCGCGUCAAACUGGAU
RNAcentral lists this non-coding RNA (48 nucleotides) under Schistosoma curassoni. Lineage: Eukaryota; Metazoa; Platyhelminthes; Trematoda; Strigeidida; Schistosomatidae. The record is from RNAcentral.